This 215-nucleotide long non-coding RNA is filed under the name Lathyrus oleraceus (garden pea). RNAcentral's name for it is "Pisum sativum (pea) long non-coding RNA (PSAT_LNC001599)". The record is from RNAcentral. Lineage: Eukaryota; Viridiplantae; Streptophyta; Magnoliopsida; Fabales; Fabaceae.
AUAAAGGUUGCUAAAACUGCUCACAAACAUCAAACACUGGCUGAAAAGAGACACAGAAAACAAAAGAAACUAACUCGGCAGGAUAUCGCAUCCUGGGCCUACGUAGUCUGUCAGGCACAGACAUCAGAGUCGACGUAGUUCGGGACAGGGGGAAACGUGCUCGCUAGGAUGUCGCAUCCUAUGCAUACGUAUCUUCUCGGACUAGAGAAGAAUCA